RNAcentral lists this long non-coding RNA (1817 nucleotides) under Homo sapiens (human). RNAcentral describes it as "HSALNT0392601". Lineage: Eukaryota; Metazoa; Chordata; Mammalia; Primates; Hominidae. The record is from RNAcentral.
AGUUCUGCCAACGAUUUAUCUUCAGAAGACAAGCAGAUGAGGAGACAAAACCUACUGAUGUGGGUACCCAAGCAGGAACCCCCCUCUUGCACCGGCGACUCACGUGGGAAGAAGAAUUCACUGAGCUGAAAUGGAGUGAGAGCUAAGAUGCUCUCAGAAUAUUCUUAAAAUGACUGUGCUGCAAAGAAGCCCGGGUGAAUAGAAGAAAAUAGAAGGAAUGGUGGAUACAAGUGAAGGUUAAAAUGAGACCCCAUUUAUCGCACCAGCUGUUGGUGAUUUCAGCGCACCUUUCCAAGCCUCUUGAGAGUUCUGCUCUAACCACACUGCCCCCUAGUGUUCUCUCGCUUUGGUGCAACUGCAGGUUUCUCAUACUUCCGGAGAAAUAGAAAGCACCAGAUGACAGCCACCACACACUUUUGUCCCCAUUGCAAUAGGAUGCUUCUAACAAUCGUAAAAUUAUGAAACACUGAAUUCCUUAAAAGUUGUCCAUUUGUGGAUUUAUCUGAUGGUAACUAUUAAAUAUUUAAAAGUAACUUUAAUGAAUCUACUUAUGAUGAUUGAGUAAUCUAUUCUCUGAAUUCCACCAAAAAACCAUUUUAUGACCACAGUCAUAACGAACAUAUUUCUAUAGUCCUAAGCUGGCAAGAUAAAUAGAGAACAGUUCAUAAUAUAAACAAUAUAUUUAUUUAUUCCUAAACUAAUAAGAUGACUAUCAAUCUGUAAGAGACUAUGAAAAUCAAUACCGUAUACUUGGUAUAGUUGGUGAGAAUUUCAGGAGCAUGUUUGUUCUUUUAUUUGUGUUUUGGAAGAUACUUAGCCCACUUUUUUUUUUUUUUUUUUGAGAUGGAGUCUCACUCUUGUCGCCCAGGCUGGAGUGGAGUGGCAUGAUCUCGACUCACUGCAACCUCCACCUCCCAGGUUCAAGUGAUACUCCUGCCUCAGCCUCCCGAGUAGCUGGGACUACAGGUGCGCACCACCACACCCAGCUAAUUUCUGUAUUUUUAGUAGAGACGGGGUUUCACCAUGUUGGCCAGAUGGUCUCGAUCUCUUGACCUUGUGAUCUGCCCGCCUCGGCCUACUUAGCCAACUUUUAAGGACAAGUCCAGCCAUCCUUAUCCUUCACAGCAAAUAACAAACAUAGUGAUUUGUGGGGGUGAAGAGAUGUUGGUCAAGGGGUAUGAAAGUACAGUCAGAUAAAAGGAAUGUGUCCUAGAUUUGAUAGAAUACUAGGGAAAUUACAGUUAACAAAAAUUUAUUGUACACUUCAAAGUAGCUAGAAGCAAAGAACUGUAAUGUCCCCAACACAAAGAAAAGAUAAAUGUUUGGGGUGAUAAUAUCUCAAUUACUCUGAUUUGAUCAUUACACAUUGUAUGCAGGUAUCAAAAUAUCACAUAUCCCCCCAAAAUAUGUACAACUGUUGUAUAUUAAUAAAAAUAAAUACAAACAAAAAGACCCAAAUAGUUAUUAAUUAUAGUGUAAAUAUUAGACUAGAGCCAUUCUGGACAAGCACCUGUUCAACACCAUAUCCUCAUUUUCUGGCACCCAGUAGACACUGCGGAAGUAUUUUUGAUUGGUCCUGCAGAGGUUCUACCCCAACCUCACCAGGUGCAGGUGGAUGCCAGGUGCCAGCCUGGGAGAGGCUCUAAGUUCUAAAGAGUGUGUCGGUGGAUGGUGUGCUUUCAUCUUUUAGUUCAUAUGGCCCUGCCUUUUAUUAACAGCACAGAACACUGGGCCCAGACUCUUGCGAGAACAUGCCUUUGAACUGUUUGCUGCUCACCUUUUAGUGAAAGCUCUUGACAGAAAUAUUAAAGAGAAAG